GGCUCAGAACGAACGCUGGCGGCAUGGAUUAGGCAUGCAAGUCGAACGGUGCGAGCAAUGCAUAGUGGCGCAAGGGUGAGGAACGCGUGAGUAACCUACCCUCAAGUUGGGAACAGCUUACUGGAAACGGAAAUUAAUACCGAAUGUGACCAUAGGAAGGCAUCUUCUGUUGGUUAAAGGCCGCAAGGUCGCUUGAGGAGGGGCUCGCGUCCAUUAUGCUAGUUGGUGAGGUAACGGCCCACCAAGGCGAAGAUGGGUAGCUGGUCUGAGAGGACGAUCAGCCACACUGGGACUGAGAACUGCCCAGACUCCUACGGGAGGCUGCAGUCGAGAAUUUUGGGCAAUGGACGAAAGUCUGAACCCCAGCAAUGCCGCGUGCGGGAUGAAGGUCUUCGGAUUGUAAACCGCUGUCAAGUGGGACGAAACAAAUGACGGUACCGCUGAAGGAAGUCACGGCUAACUACGUGCCAGCCGCCGC
Molecule: ribosomal RNA, 478 nt
Filed under: uncultured bacterium
Lineage: Bacteria
Description: bacterial SSU rRNA
Rfam family: Bacterial small subunit ribosomal RNA
Source: RNAcentral